This 323-nucleotide ribosomal RNA is filed under the name Anaplasma marginale. RNAcentral describes it as "bacterial SSU rRNA". It matches the Rfam family "Bacterial small subunit ribosomal RNA", at positions 472 to 794 of the family's 1533-position model. The record is from RNAcentral. Lineage: Bacteria; Pseudomonadati; Pseudomonadota; Alphaproteobacteria; Rickettsiales; Anaplasmataceae.
UGGGUACCUAAACAAAGAAGUCCCGGCAAACUCCGUGCCAGCAGCCGCGGUAAUACGGAGGGGGCAAGCGUUGUUCGGAAUUAUUGGGCGUAAAGGGCAUGUAGGCGGUUUGGUAAGUUAAAGGUGAAAUACCAGGGCUUAACCCUGGGGCUGCUUUUAAUACUGCAGGACUAGAGUCCGGAAGAGGAUAGCGGAAUUCCUAGUGUAGAGGUGAAAUUCGUAGAUAUUAGGAGGAACACCAGUGGCGUAAGGCUGGCUGUCUGGUCCGGUACUGACGUGUGACGGUGCGAGAAGCGGGGAGCAACACAGUAGAGCUCGCAAGC